Molecule: ribosomal RNA, 336 nt
Filed under: Triticum aestivum (bread wheat)
Lineage: Eukaryota; Viridiplantae; Streptophyta; Magnoliopsida; Poales; Poaceae
Description: partial small subunit ribosomal RNA
Source: RNAcentral
AGGUGGCUAGAAAAUGCCACACUCUGGGAACAAUAUCCGGCUCUAUACAACAUUGUGCGUCACAAGGGUGAUACUAUCGCCACGGUAAUGGAAUCAUUUCCGCCAAAUGUGACGUUCAGAAGAGAUUUAAUUGGACCCAGACUCCAAUUGUGGUACAUCCUGCUCCAGUGGUUGUCCAUGGUGCAGUUGUCACAUGAGUCUGAUAUAUUCCGAUGGAACCUACAUGAGAAUGGACAAUUCUCAGUGGAGUCUAUGUAUAGAGCGUUAAUCCAGCCUGAGGUGCCAGUUGAUAAUAACAAGAAGAUCUCGAAGAUGAAGAUAGCUCUUAAGAAAUAA